RNAcentral lists this non-coding RNA (84 nucleotides) under marine eukaryotic metagenome. Its description in RNAcentral is "Glycine riboswitch". It matches the Rfam family "Glycine riboswitch aptamer", at positions 7 to 88 of the family's 94-position model. Rfam says of the family: This family represents the bacterial glycine riboswitch. Glycine riboswitches usually consist of two metabolite-binding aptamers domains with similar structures in tandem. The record is from RNAcentral.
AGCAUUGCGGGAGAGCACAGGCAGUUUCGGCCUGUCACCGAAGGCGCAACCCACCCGGAAACGCUCAGGUAAAAGGACCGCGAU